GUUCAGUCAGUGGUUCUCUGCUCGUGAACAAGUCAGUGAAAAUGGAUGAACCUGAUAAGAAAAAGAGGCUUUGCAGCUACAACAAGGAAUGGGAAGCAAAAAGGUCGUGGGUUAAAGCCACCACAGACGCUAGGAGAGCAUUUUGUACAUGAUGCCGCCGAGAGAUAUCUAUUGGCCAUGGUGGCAAGCAUGACUUAUCCCGUCAUGAAGACACAGACUCGCACACAGGAGAUGCUGGAAACUUGAAUAGCCAUGGAAGAAGUAACUGGAUAAGAGGAUGUCCAUGCCACUGUUCUGUAAAUAGUUUGGGCUGUGCAGAAGGAUGAGGAGAUGCUGGAAUCUGGAAUAGCCAUGGAAGAAGUAACUGGAUAAGAGGAGGCCCAUGCCAUACUGAAAAGAUGCAGACCAACAACAUAUUCUCUUAAGUUUUAAUAAAUAGUUUAAAAAACUUGCA
Molecule: long non-coding RNA, 454 nt
Organism: Neoarius graeffei (lesser salmon catfish)
Lineage: Eukaryota; Metazoa; Chordata; Actinopteri; Siluriformes; Ariidae
Exons: 3
Source: RefSeq, a predicted model, not a curated record